UUUCCGGUCUUCUUGAUCUAAAUGAGGGCUUGGCGAGCCACUGUUAGCGAAGCUCUCAACACCACCAUGCAGUUUUCAUCUAUUUUUAUACAUUUUUGGCUCAGCGUGCAGACUACUACAGAUGACCCACCGUGAAGAGGCAGCUUUGGAUAACUUGGAUUGAGGCUCGUGUUCCUGCAAACAUCAUCAUAAUGAAGGGUUUGGGGUCCCAACGUCCCACAUUGCAUUGACUACAUGUAGGAGGAAGAAGAAAAGAGAAAAGAUGUAACAGCAGCAGAGCAAGACGAAGAAGUCACAUAGAGCCGGAGGUGAAAUGAACCAGAUGAAAUCGGCAUGUAAACGGCAAAAACCUGAGCUGAUCAAGAAGUCGUGACGUCACAGAGGAUAUAAAAUGCAGUAGAUUUGCUUUUGUGUAAAUAAGAAAAAAAAGCAUGCUUGAACUAAAACAUGUUUAAUGAAACUAAGAAGUUGCUGUAUAAAAUUGAAGCAUAAUGGCACAUUCAAGUAUUCAGCAUAUUAAAAGCAACAUGUAUCCUAUUGAGAGUGACUGGCACACAUUGGUCAAUCUGUGCUGAAAGCCGAUCUGUAGGAUUUCUUCUUUAAAUUUUCUAGAAAGAUCUGCUCUUCUUGGAGGUAUUCACGGUCCUGUGGGCAGAAAACAUCUUAUUUAUCUGGGAUAGAAAUUUGAAACACUGAAAAUAUUUGAAAACAAUUGUUUCUAAAAUGUUCUCAGAUGCACCUGCUGACGUAGCUUUAAAUGUAUUUAAAAGCUGACGUUUGUGUUUUGACUCUAUUUGUAAUAAAUGCCUGUGCAGUAACAAA
Molecule: long non-coding RNA, 822 nt
Organism: Lates calcarifer (barramundi perch)
Lineage: Eukaryota; Metazoa; Chordata; Actinopteri; Centropomidae
Exons: 5
Source: RefSeq, a predicted model, not a curated record